AUUCCAGCUCCAAUAGCGUAUAUUAAAGUUGUUGCGGUUAAAAAGCUCGUAGUUGGAUUUCUGCCGAGGACGACCGGUCCGCCCUCUGGGUGAGCAUCUGGCUCGGCCUGGGCAUCUUCUUGGAGAACGUAUCUGCACUUGACUGUGUGGUGCGGUAUUCAGGACUUUUACUUUGAGGAAAUUAGAGUGUUUCAAGCAGGCAUACGCCUUGAAUACAUUAGCAUGGAAUAAUAAGAUAGGACCUCGGUUCUAUUUUGUUGGUUUCUAGGACCGAAGUAAUGAUUAAUAGGGACAGUUGGGGGCAUUAGUAUUUAAUUGUCAGAGGUGAAAUUCUUGGAUUUAUGAAAGACUAACUACUGCGAAAGCAUUCGCCAAGGAUGUUUUCAUCG
This 389-nucleotide ribosomal RNA is filed under the name Heterocapsa sp. Its description in RNAcentral is "partial small subunit ribosomal RNA". It matches the Rfam family "Eukaryotic small subunit ribosomal RNA", at positions 582 to 975 of the family's 1831-position model. The record is from RNAcentral. Lineage: Eukaryota; Dinophyceae; Peridiniales; Heterocapsaceae.